AAGGCAUUUUACUAAAGGUUUGCUAUUCUGUGAAACCAAGAGUUCUAAAUCUAUGCCCAAAGUUUGAAGAUCUUUACAAAAGGGCUAGUCACUUAGCAGAGCUAUGCUUUCUCUGAGGAUAUUUAA
Molecule: small nucleolar RNA, 126 nt
Filed under: Microtus ochrogaster (prairie vole)
Lineage: Eukaryota; Metazoa; Chordata; Mammalia; Rodentia; Cricetidae
Description: Small nucleolar RNA SNORA25 (ENSMOCG00000007242.1)
Source: RNAcentral